Molecule: ribosomal RNA, 286 nt
Filed under: uncultured Telmatospirillum sp.
Lineage: Bacteria; Pseudomonadati; Pseudomonadota; Alphaproteobacteria; Rhodospirillales; Rhodospirillaceae
Description: partial 16S ribosomal RNA
Rfam family: Bacterial small subunit ribosomal RNA
Source: RNAcentral
AAAACAGGAACGAACGCUGGCGGCAUGCCUAACACAUGCAAGUCGAACGGUGGCUUCGGCCAUAGUGGCGCACGGGUGAGUAACGCGUGGGAAACUGCCCAUCAGUGGGGAAUAACAGAGGGAAACUUCUGCUAAUACCGCAUACGCCCUUCGGGGGAAAGAUUUAUCGCUGAUGGAUGUGCCCGCGUCCGAUUAGGUAGUUGGUGGGGUAAAGGCCUACCAAGCCUACGAUCGGUAGCUGGUCUGAGAGGAUGAUCAGCCACACUGGGACUGAGACACGGCCCAG